Molecule: unclassified non-coding RNA, 94 nt
Filed under: Kaistella antarctica
Lineage: Bacteria; Pseudomonadati; Bacteroidota; Flavobacteriia; Flavobacteriales; Weeksellaceae
Description: Chryseobacterium antarcticum Flavo-1 RNA
Source: RNAcentral
CUGCGGCCGUGAUAGUAGUGGUUACCCCGCAAGGAGCCGGCGGAACGAAGUGGAGCAGGCGACUGAGGAGUAGGAACGGAUAGCACGAAUUGUC